AGUGGCUGUGACGGUGAGUGCCACACAGAGCUGCCCACACUGGUGGAGGGAAGGCAGGGAGAUACCAGGACCAUCCAGAAGGGGCUGAGUGUCAUUUGACAGGUGCCUUGUGAGCAGAGAUGUGAAGGAGUGGCCCGGGACAAUCAGGGCAGAAUCCCUGAGGUGUCCCUGGCCAGUGUCCUUCCACCUGUCCACAAGCAUGGGGAACAUCUUCGCCAACCUCUUCAAGGGCCUUUUUGGCAAAAAAGAAAUGCGCAUCCUCAUGGUGGGCCUGGAUGCUGCAGGGAAGACCACGAUCCUCUACAAGCUUAAGCUGGGUGAGAUCGUGACCACCAUUCCCACCAUAGGUGAGGUGGGGGCCAGCAGGGAGUGGGCUGGGCUGGCCUGGGCCAAGGUACAAGGCCUCACCCUGCAUCCCGCACCCAGGCUUCAACGUGGAAACCGUGGAGUACAAGAACAUCAGCUUCACUGUGUGGGACGUGGGUGGCCAGGACAAGAUCCGGCCCCUGUGGCGCCACUACUUCCAGAACACACAAGGCCUGAUCUUCGUGGUGGACAGCAAUGACAGAGAGCGUGUGAACGAGGCCCGUGAGGAGCUCAUGAGGAUGCUGGCCGAGGACGAGCUCCGGGAUGCUGUCCUCCUGGUGUUCGCCAACAAGCAGGACCUCCCCAACGCCAUGAAUGCGGCUGAGAUCACAGACAAGCUGGGGCUGCACUCCCUACGCCACAGAAACUGGUACAUUCAGGCCACCUG
This 754-nucleotide small RNA is filed under the name Pan troglodytes (chimpanzee). Its description in RNAcentral is "processed transcript". Lineage: Eukaryota; Metazoa; Chordata; Mammalia; Primates; Hominidae. The record is from RNAcentral.